CCUACGGGUGGCAGCAGUGAGGAAUAUUGGUCAAUGGACGAGAGUCUGAACCAGCCAAGUAGCGUGAAGGAUGACUGCCCUAUGGGUUGUAAACUUCUUUUAUAUGGGAAUAAAAUGUUCCACGUGUGGGAUUUUGUAUGUCCCAUAUGAAUAAGGAUCGGCUAACUCCGUGCCAGCAGCCGCGGUAAUACGGAGGAUCCGAGCGUUAUCCGGAUUUAUUGGGUUUAAAGGGGGCGUAGGUGGAUUGUUAAGUCAGUUGUGAAAUUUUGCGGCUCAACCGUAAAAUUGCAGUUGAAACUGGCAGUCUUGAGUACAGUAGAGGUGGGCGGAAUUCGUGGUGUAGCGGUGAAAUGCUUAGAUAUCACGAAGAACUCCGAUUGCGAAGGCAGCUCACUGGACUGCAACUGACACUGAGGCUCGAAAGUGUGGGUAUCAAACAGGAUUAGAUACCCCUGUAGUC
Molecule: ribosomal RNA, 460 nt
Filed under: uncultured bacterium
Lineage: Bacteria
Description: partial 16S ribosomal RNA
Rfam family: Bacterial small subunit ribosomal RNA
Source: RNAcentral